This 464-nucleotide ribosomal RNA is filed under the name uncultured bacterium. Its description in RNAcentral is "partial 16S ribosomal RNA". It matches the Rfam family "Bacterial small subunit ribosomal RNA", at positions 28 to 507 of the family's 1533-position model. The record is from RNAcentral.
GACGAACGCUGGCGGCGUGCUUAACACAUGCAAGUCGAACGGAAAGGCCCAGCUUGCUGGGUGCUCGAGUGGCGAACGGGUGAGUAACACGUGGGUGAUCUGCCUCUAACUUCGGGAUAAGCUUGGGAAACUGGGUCUAAUACCGGAUAGGACAAUCGUUUAGUGUCGGUUGUGGAAAGUUUUUUCGGUUAGGGAUGAGCCCGCGGCCUCUCAGCUUGUUGGUGGGGUAAUGGCCUACCAAGGCGUCGACGGGUAGCCGGCCUGAGAGGGUGGACGGCCACAUUGGGACUGAGAUACGGCCCAGACUCCUACGGGAGGCAGCAGUGGGGAAUAUUGCACAAUGGGCGCAAGCCUGAUGCAGCGACGCCGCGUGGGGGAUGACGGCCUUCGGGUUGUAAACCUCUUUCGACAGGGACGAAGCUUUGGUGACGGUACCUGUAUAAGAAGCACCGGCUAACUACGUG